RNAcentral lists this ribosomal RNA (253 nucleotides) under uncultured bacterium. Its description in RNAcentral is "partial 16S ribosomal RNA". It matches the Rfam family "Bacterial small subunit ribosomal RNA", at positions 524 to 776 of the family's 1533-position model. The record is from RNAcentral.
UACAGAGGUCUCAAGCGUUGUUCGGAUUCAUUGGGCGUAAAGGGUGCGUAGGUGGCGGGGUAAGUCAGGUGUGAAAUCUCGGAGCUCAACUCCGAAACUGCACUUGAUACUGCCUUGCUCGAGUACUGGAGAGGAGAUUGGAAUUUACGGUGUAGCAGUGAAGUGCGUAGAUAUCGUAAGGAAGACCAGUGGCGAAGGCGAAUCUCUGGACAGUUACUGACACUGAGGCACGAAGGCCAGGGGAGCAAACGGG